This 342-nucleotide long non-coding RNA is filed under the name Citrus sinensis (sweet orange). RNAcentral describes it as "long non-coding RNA (CSIN_LNC001740)". Lineage: Eukaryota; Viridiplantae; Streptophyta; Magnoliopsida; Sapindales; Rutaceae. The record is from RNAcentral.
CUUUGUCAUUUCCUUUUUAAGACAUACAUUCUUUUUACCAAUCUUCAUCAACUCGUUAUGUAAAUCUUUAAAAGCAUCAUACAAUUCAUCAUAGGUGGGAUCACUUACCUCAUUGAGAUCAUCAUCCCCUCAUAUUGCCAUGAGUGCUAGGUUUUAUACUUCUUGCGAUCCUUCUUCAUCACUUGAUUCUUCCUCACUAUCAUCCCAAGUUGCAACCAUUGCUUUCUUCUUGAGUUUGUUGAUAAGUGGGCACUCCGAUCUUAUAUGUCCAGGCUUCUUACAUUCAUAGCAUGUGAUUGCCUCCUUCUUCUCCCUAUGGUUCUUGAAGUUUCUGAAAUUUUU